UACGUAGGUCCCGAGCGUUGUCCGGAUUUAUUUGGCGUAAAGCGAGCGCAGGUGGUUUAUUAAGUCUGGUGUAAAAGGCAGUGGCUCAACCAUUGUAUGCAUUGGAAGCUGGUAGACUUGAGUGCAGGAGAGGAGAGUGGAAUUCCAUGUGUAGCGGUGAAAUGCGUAGAUAUAUGGAGGAACACCGGUGGCGAAAGCGGCUCUCUGGCCUGUAACUGACACUGAGGCUCGAAAGCGUGGGGAGCAAACAGG
This 252-nucleotide ribosomal RNA is filed under the name uncultured bacterium. RNAcentral's name for it is "partial 16S ribosomal RNA". It matches the Rfam family "Bacterial small subunit ribosomal RNA", at positions 524 to 776 of the family's 1533-position model. The record is from RNAcentral.